Molecule: ribosomal RNA, 253 nt
Filed under: uncultured bacterium
Lineage: Bacteria
Description: partial 16S ribosomal RNA
Rfam family: Bacterial small subunit ribosomal RNA
Source: RNAcentral
UACGAAGGGUGCAAACGUUGCUCGGAAUUAUUGGGCGUAAAGCGCACGUAGGCGGCUUGGCAAGUCGGAUGUGAAAUCCCUCGGCUCAACCAAGGAAGUGCAUCCGAAACUGCCGAGCUUGAGUACUUAAGAGGAUCGCGGAAUUCCCGGUGUAGAGGUGAAAUUCGUAGAUAUCGAGAGGAACACCUGCGGCGAAGGCGGGUUGCUGGGCUGACACUGACGCUGAAGUGCGAAAGCUAGGGGAGCGAACGGG